CAGUAGCCGCGGUAAUACGAGGGGGGCAAGCGUUGUUCGGAAUUAUUGGGCGUAAAGGGUGCGUAGGCGGUUUGGCAAGUUUGGUGUGAAAUCUUCGGGCUCAACUCGAAGUCUGCAUCGAAAACUGCCGGGCUUGAGUAUGGGAGAGGUGAGUGGAAUUUCCGGUGUAGCGGUGAAAUGCGUAGAUAUCGGAAGGAACACCUGUGGCGAAAGCGGCUCACUGGACCAUAACUGACGCUGAUGCACGAAAGCUAGGGGAGUAAACAGGAUUAGAUACCCCCGUAGUCCCUGUCUCUUAUAC
RNAcentral lists this ribosomal RNA (301 nucleotides) under uncultured bacterium. RNAcentral's name for it is "partial 16S ribosomal RNA". It matches the Rfam family "Bacterial small subunit ribosomal RNA", at positions 509 to 807 of the family's 1533-position model. The record is from RNAcentral.